UUCUUGCACUCAUUGUAUAGUCCACCCCUA
Molecule: non-coding RNA, 30 nt
Filed under: Rattus norvegicus (Norway rat)
Lineage: Eukaryota; Metazoa; Chordata; Mammalia; Rodentia; Muridae
Source: RNAcentral